This 424-nucleotide ribosomal RNA is filed under the name uncultured bacterium. RNAcentral describes it as "bacterial SSU rRNA". It matches the Rfam family "Bacterial small subunit ribosomal RNA", at positions 355 to 794 of the family's 1533-position model. The record is from RNAcentral.
UGGGGAAUAUUGGGCAAUGGGCGCAAGCCUGACCCAGCAACGCCGCGUGAGGGAAGAAGGUUUUCGGAUCGUAAACCUCUGUUGCAGGGGACGAGCAGUAGACGGUACCCUGCGAGGAAGCUCCGGCUAACUACGUGCCAGCAGCCGCGGUAAUACGUAGGGAGCAAGCGUUGUCCGGAAUGACUGGGCGUAAAGGGCGCGUAGGUGGUUUUGUAAGUCUGGAGUGAAACCCCCGUUUUCAAGGCGGGGCCUGCUUUGGAGACUGCAGGACUUGAGUGAUGGAGAGGAUAGCGGAAUUCCCGGUGUAGCGGUGAAAUGCGUAGAGAUCGGGAGGAACACCAGUGGCGAAGGCGGCUAUCUGGACAUAGACUGACACUGUGGCGCGAAAGCGUGGGGAGCAAACAGGAUUAGAUACCCUGGUAGU